AUGGAGGCUCCUCUUGCUUCUCAUUGCGCCAGAGAUGAAGCCUUACGUCCCUGGCGGGUGCAACAUACUGAGGCCCAUUUGACGCCUCACGGGUUCUGGAAUCAGCUUGUUUAUCAGCUCAGGCGAAGCACCUGCAAGUUCUUGUUUGAAGUUAAAGAGAGGCGGCAGUGGGCGACCAUUGGGCAACCGUGUAUUGGGAUCCCGCAAUUCAUCAAAAAAGGAAUGAGCACAUGCUUCUAGAGCAGUGCAACGUAGACUUGGCGAGUACUGGAGAAGACGUGAUGCUAGAUCAAUUGCUUCCGGAGGCAUUCUCUUGUGAAAAACCUUGUGCCAGGGAUGCGCUUUUAUCUG
Molecule: unclassified non-coding RNA, 351 nt
Filed under: Hevea brasiliensis (rubber tree)
Lineage: Eukaryota; Viridiplantae; Streptophyta; Magnoliopsida; Malpighiales; Euphorbiaceae
Source: RNAcentral